GAAUAUUUGACAAUGGGGGGAACCCUGAUCCAGCCAUGCCGCGUGUGUGAAGAAGGCCUUUUGGUUGUACAGCACUUUAAGCGAGGAGGAGGCUACUCUAGUUAAUACCUCGCGCUAGUGGACGUUACUCGCCGAAUACGCACCCGCUAACUCUGUUGCAGCCGCCGCGGUAAUACAGAGGGUGCAAGCGUUAAUCGGAUUUACUGGGCGUAAAGCGCGCGUAGGUGGCCAAUUAAGUCAAAUGUGAAAUCCCCGAGCUUAACUUGGGAAUUGCAUUCGAUACUGGUUGGCUAGAGUAUGGGAGAGGAUGGUAGAAUUCCAGGUGUAGCGGUGAAAUGCGUAGAGAUCUGGAGGAAUACCGAUGGCGAAGGCAGCCAUCUGGCCUAAUACUGACACUGAGGUGCGAAAGCAUGGGGAGCAAACA
This 424-nucleotide ribosomal RNA is filed under the name uncultured bacterium. Its description in RNAcentral is "bacterial SSU rRNA". It matches the Rfam family "Bacterial small subunit ribosomal RNA", at positions 359 to 774 of the family's 1533-position model. The record is from RNAcentral.